UGAGGAAUAUUGGGCAAUGCCCGAAAGGGUGACCCAGCAACGCCGCGUGGAGGAUGAAGGUCGUAAGAUUGUAAACUCCUGUUAGAGGGGAAGAAUAACUAAGUUUGGAGCUUAGUAUGACUGUACCCUCAGAGAAAGCCCCGGCUAACUACGUGCCAGCAGCCGCGGUAAUACGUAGGGGGCAAGCGUUGUCCGGAUUUACUGGGUGUAAAGGGCGCGCAGGCGGAAUGGAAAGUCAGUGGUGAAAUCCUACAGCUUAACUGUAGAACUGCCUUUGAUACUUUCAGUCUUGAGUUCGGGAGAGAGAGACGGAAUUCCAGGUGUAGUGGUGAAAUACGUAGAUAUCUGGAAGAACACCAGUUGCGAAGGCGGUCUCUUGGUCCGAUACUGACGCUGAGGCGCGAAAGCGUGGGGAGCAAAC
This 421-nucleotide ribosomal RNA is filed under the name uncultured bacterium. Its description in RNAcentral is "bacterial SSU rRNA". It matches the Rfam family "Bacterial small subunit ribosomal RNA", at positions 355 to 773 of the family's 1533-position model. The record is from RNAcentral.